CGUAAGACAGUUCGGUCCCUAUCCGCCGUGGGCGCAGGAAACUUGAGGGAUGCUGUUCCUAGUACGAGAGGACCGGAACGGACGAACCUCUGGUGCACCAGUUGUCUCAUCAGAGGCACAGCUGGGUAGCUACGUUCGGGUGGGAUAAGCGCUGAAAGCAUAUAAGUGCGAAACCCUUCCCAAGAUAAGGUUUCCCUUCCCCUUCGGGGGAGUGAAGGUCCCCUGUAGACGACAGGGUUGAUAGGUCACAGGUGUAAGGUCAGUAAUGGCUUCAGCCGAGUGAUACUAAUUGACCGUCAGGCUUUACCAA
RNAcentral lists this ribosomal RNA (310 nucleotides) under marine metagenome. RNAcentral's name for it is "bacterial LSU rRNA". It matches the Rfam family "Bacterial large subunit ribosomal RNA", at positions 2620 to 2925 of the family's 2925-position model. The record is from RNAcentral.